RNAcentral lists this ribosomal RNA (484 nucleotides) under uncultured bacterium. Its description in RNAcentral is "partial 16S ribosomal RNA". It matches the Rfam family "Bacterial small subunit ribosomal RNA", at positions 30 to 507 of the family's 1533-position model. The record is from RNAcentral.
AUUGAACGCUGGCGGCAGGCCUAACACAUGCAAGUCGAGCGAAUGAAGGGAGCUUUCUCUUGGAUUCAGCGUCGGACGGGUGAGUAAUGCCUAGGAAUCUGCCUGGUAGUGGGGGAUAACGUCCGGAAACGGCCGCUAAUACCGCAUCCUACCUUAGGGAGAAAGUGUGGGAUCUUCGGACCUCACGCUAUCAGAUGAGCCUAGGUCGGAUUAGCUAGUUGGUGGGGUAAAGGCCUACCACGGCGACGAUCCGUAACUGGUCUGCGAGGAUGAUCAGUCAAACUGGAACUGAGACACGGUCCAGACUCCGACGGGAGGCAGCAGUGGGGAAUAUUGGACAAUGGGCGAAAGCCUGAUCCAGCCAUGCCGCGUGUGUGAAGAAGGUCUUCGGAUUGUAAAGCACUUUAAGUUGGGAGGAAGGGAAGUAAGUUAAUACCUUGAUGUUUUGACGUUACCAACAGAAUAAGCACCGGCUAACUACGUG